AGUCACCCUGCAGUGACCCGGCCAGUACAGCCAUGCCGGGUCUCAGCUCUGCUCACCCGCGCAGCUCCCAGAAACUUCCCCGGCUUGUCUCCACUGGAAUCGGGAUGGAAGGGAGCCACGGCUGGCUCAGCCCCUCUCGGAGCAGAAAGAGGAAACUUCUGAAAAGAAGAUGGGGGCUGGGGGAGGACAUCAAUCAGCACGGACAACACCAAAAACCACCCAGAAGACAGCUCAGUGGACCCUAGCAGUGGAUUCUACAUGUCUGCAGAAAAUGAGCAGAAAACAAGCCAGAGUUACAGCUAUCUGCAGAGAGACUACAUCCAGGAGGUCUGAAGACUGAAAGUAAUCACUGCAGUCUGACUUCUACCACUGACACCCUUCCCAUACAUAAUUUAAAUGUGUAAUUAUAAUACCAUUGCUUAGUUAACGGACACCAAUUCGUGCAGGAGCUGCCACAAACAGUAAUAAACCAGCUGUGUUAGAAAUGGAUCACUUAUCAGUGCGUGCCCAAGCCUCCUAAUGCCUCAUGAUGUUUAAUAAUUAAAUUGUGACACCUUGAACCCGCAGCUGACACCAUGAAUCACAGUGGAAUUCUCCAAAUGGAAUGCAGCCACACCUCAGCUUCUGUGCUGCGUGCUGCCACUGAGGACAUUCGAUACCAUUGAAGCCGUCAGAUAGAGGAUGAAGACGGAUGGCCUCUUGGCACCCAUCUCUUUGGCAUGAACGAUGUGGGGAAACGUGAAUGGAAAUGGGGAACUGUUGCUGGCACCCAGAAGUCAUCCGGUCCGGAUGAAGCCAAGUCACAAGGAAGUGCCUCCAAUUAUUCUUCAUAAAUUCCUCUGAGGUUUCACUUCUUGUCCACACAAGACUUUAAUAAAAUGUGGCAUCUAACUGAAUAAAGACUAUCCUUUCGGGUGUGUGUGUCAUGACAGUACUAUUUAUGGAGGACCUCCUGUGUAGCAGUUCUUGCACUGUUUUACGUAAUCAUCCCCUUUCAUCCUAACAAUCACUCCUGUGAAGUAUGUGUCCUUAUUUUCAUUUCGUUGUAGAGAAAACCAAGGCUCUGAGACAUUAAGCAAUGUGCCCAAGGACACACAGCUAGUAAGUGGCUGGAUUUGAGCGCAAGCCUACAAGAAACUGUAAGUUUCUUAUUUGUAUUUAUUAAUUCAUCAUAUUGUCAUUUCUUCAAAAUGCAACUGAAUCUCAUAAAAUGUCAGUGGCAGAAUCUAGGUGGAAGGUGCCCUGGUAUUCACUGUAAAAUUCCUUCAACUCGGCUGUAUAUUUGAAAAUUUUCAUGUUACAAUAUUAGGAAAAAAACCCUUGAUUUCCAGGUGUUUUUUCACCUGGACAAACUUGAGAACUUUGGAAAAGCUGGCUUACCUCCUCGAAUUCUAGUUGGCUGGCUUGGCUGGGUUGGCUGGGUGGGCCCUGGCACCCUCCACUCAAUGCCCACCUGCAUGUUAAAACGGGUCCUGCUAGGACCCUGGGCAGCCCAGGCACUUCUGACACAUGCCACAGACUUCCUCUGUACAGUAGAAUAGAUGUCCCUUAGGAAUAAAAAAAAAAAACAGGCAGCUUUCUGGUCGAAUACCACUCUAUGACACCUUCUGGGACCUUCCCUCCAAGUUUCUUCUACCAGAUCAACAAGAAGGAUUCAACUUGGUGUCUCUGUGUGUUUUGCUGUCUCAUGCUGCUUAUAAACUGCUUUGCCUUUAGCAAUGUCCCUCAGUUAUCUUGUUCUAAGGCUACAAUUAAGAAGGAAUCACUGUUGUGGAGGAACUCAGAGGCACCUCCAGCUCCCAUUAGCUGGUCCCUUAAUGCCGCUGAUGCGAGGCUCUGACAGUAAUUACUUUGCAAGUAUAAUGAGAUACUUAUGGGUCCAUCAGGUGCCCAACCCAUAGCAUGAUAUGAAAUAUGAAGAGUUAAGCUGGUGGGUAAUUUACACAACUGUCUACCAAGUCUCUCCAGGAUGAUUAAGAAAAGGAAAUGCCGGAUUGAAAAGAUGCCAAGCUUCCAGAGCGCGUUCAUGUGGCUCGAUUGACAGUGGCAACCAUUAUCGUCAUCACCGUCAUCGCUGCUUUUAACGGUUAAUGAUAAUAAGCCGUCACACACGGAUGCAGCACUUUGCAAUGCACAAAGCCCUCUUGCACUCAUGCUCUCCAGCGCUCCUCACUGCCAUCUGGGAAUCUCCACUUUGCAGAUGUGGAAACUGAAGCUCGGACGAUGGCAGUGACUCGCCCUGCUAGCCCUGCCGAGAGAGGUCUGCCUUUGCCUCCCUGAUUCUGAAUCAGAUAGGGUCAGGACUCCCUCUAUUCCCCUGGGCUCCUCAACCUGGCGCCCUCACCGCUUACUUGCGGGCCCCUCCUGCCCUCUUCUGCUCCAGACGGCAGGCUCUCUGAGGCAGGACUCUGAUUGGACAGCUUGGAUCAUGUGCUCAUUCAAAAGCCAAUCAGCAGCAGGGGGCUUGGCUCUGUAUUCACUCUUCCCAUGUUAGCUGCCCUUUUUUUUUUUUUUUUUUUUUUUUUUUUUGAGACACAGUCUCAUUCCUCUGCCCCGGCUGGAGUGGAUCUCAGCUCAAUGCAACCUCCACCUCCUGGGUUCAUGUGAUUCUCCUGCCUCAGCAUCUCGAAUAGCUGGGAAUACAGGCACCCGCUACCAUGCCCAGCUAAUUUUUGUAUUUUUAAUAGAGACGAGGUUUCACCAUGUUGGCCAGGCUGGUCUGGAACGCCUGACCUCAAGUGAUCUACCUGCCUUGGCCUGCCAAAGUUCUGGGAUUACAGGUGUGAGGCACUGCACCUGGCCUGCCCUAACUCCCGUUAGGAAUAUGGGAAACUCUUUUCCCAAAGCAGCCUGCACCUCGGUCUUCCCACCCCACCCUACUGAAGAAGGCUCCCAGAAACCAGCUUUGCUGAGCCCAGAACGGCCUGGCUCUGGCAGAUUUGCCCCCAGGCUGCAAGUGGGCGGCAGCACUCCCCCUACAUGUCCCUUUCUAUUUCCUGCCCCUCCCCCUGAGUCUUCCUUUCAUUCUUGCAGCCAGCUCCCAGCCCUGCUUCCCUGCCAGGACCCCAAUUCCCUAACUCCCUGGCAUCAAGACCUGCAUGGAUGUCCCCUGCACUUGUUUUGUCCCCGGAUGUGGCUCCUUGGACUGUCCAGCCCCACACCUGGCCUCUUGUUUCCCACCAGCUACAGCGGCCAAGGCUCCAGCAGGCCUUGUACUUGGCUGGCCCAGGCUUGGCUUUGAUGGACCAGUGACCCAAAUAAGUGACCUUGGAAAGGUCUUCCUAAAGGUGGUGGAGACCAUGUUCUUGAGAGUUGGAGUGGUGUUGGCUUGAGUGUGGGGCUGAGAUCUCACCCAGUGCUAGGGUCCAGGCUGCGAAAUGAGGCAUAGGAUGAGAGAGGUUCUGAGCCACAAAUGGGGUCCAUACCUAAGAGGAUGGGAUCAACCUAGGGAAGGAUUUGGAGGAGAGGCGUGUGUGGAAACAGAGCCUGGAUGCUGAGUCCCUGGAGGCCGGAGUGGGCCCUGGGGCACAGGGAGCCCCUGGCCCCGCCACUGAUGCCAAUUGGGGUGUCAGUCCCCCAACAAAUUCAGUCUGUCCAUAUCUAUUGCUGACACAGGGUUUAGAGAGGGCUUAAAUUCAGAUAAAUGGAAUUUGAAUUCCCUCUUUGUCUCUCAAAUGUGUGAAUUUUGGCAGCCAAGUUCCUCUCUCUGAGCCCAGUUUGUCCAUCUCAAGAUUGUGUGUGAUCAUACCCACCACACUGGGCCACCAGGAGGAAUGAGCGAAGCACCUCAUGUCAAAUGCCUGGCCCAGGCCUGUGUCUGGCAGGGACUCAUGGCUGCGGAAGGGUCAUUAUUUGCCCCCAGGGAUUUCUAGAGAGGAUCAGGAUGCCACGAGGGAUGCUAUUGGAAGCAAGUCACACAGAAGCCAGAGCCCUGGGCUUUCCUAGCAGCACUGGACAUGGGGCAGGGAACAAACCCGAGCCACACUUCUCAGAGGGUGGGCAUGGCAUUGAAAACGACGUGUGUAGGAAGCUUUUCCAAUACACAAGCUGGGCCCCGCCCCAGAACCUUGAGGGGCAGGAGGAGCACUGAGACAACCUUGGGUGGGGUGAGGCAGGGGGACGGCGGGGGGAGAUUUCCAGUCCCUUAGCUGGCGGAAGACUCCUGAGCUGGCAGAGAGCCCUCUUCUUGAAAGACUCUCAUGCACAGGCCAUCAGGAGGAUCACAAAGUUGUUUAUUUUCCCACCUAUAAGAAAAGAUGGAUGAUGCAGAGUGCCGAGAAAUCCC
This 4285-nucleotide long non-coding RNA is filed under the name Homo sapiens (human). RNAcentral's name for it is "non-protein coding LINC01589:8". The record is from RNAcentral. Lineage: Eukaryota; Metazoa; Chordata; Mammalia; Primates; Hominidae.